RNAcentral lists this long non-coding RNA (2085 nucleotides) under Homo sapiens (human). RNAcentral's name for it is "HSALNT0292932". The record is from RNAcentral. Lineage: Eukaryota; Metazoa; Chordata; Mammalia; Primates; Hominidae.
CUCAUGUCUCACUUUACUCUUUAACCUUUAUGUUCAUUUAACAAGGCAUCCAGCAAUCUAAAGACCUCUCAAAAACGCACUGCUGCUCUCCAAGACAUGGCAAUUUCCAUGUGGUUUGUUCAUCUUUUUUUUUUUUUUUUUUGGACAGAGUCUUGCUCUGUUGCCCAGGCUGGAGUGCAAUGGUGCCAUCUUGGCUCACUGCAACCUCUGACUCCCGGGUUCAAGCCAUUCUCCUGCCUCAGCCUCCUGAGUAGCUGGGAUUACAGACAGGCAACCACUGACAAAAGCCAUGCCUGUAUUAGUGAAACUCCCAGAUAUUAAUAGGAGGAGAAGGCAGAAAAAAGAAGUGGGGAAAUAGAAAGGCCUCUACAGAUGGUGAUUUCAUACAGAAAGGUUACCGACUUGCUAAGAAAAAUUAUAUUUAAUUUUCCAACUAAUUUUUAACUGUCGAAAAGUGUGAAGAUUGAACAACACCUACAAUCCCGUUGAACUGGCCAAAAAGAAUGGGAUCUCUCCAGAACAAGUCAGUUCAACUCAGUAAAUACUUAUUGACUACCUGCCCUGUACCACUCAGUGUGCCAGAUGCUGAAGAUGAGGGAUCCUUGCGUGCAUAGAGUUUAUAAUCCAGGGAGCAUGCAGGAUAAGAGAACCACUGUUAUCAAUGGCAAUCAGUGCAAGUCUUCACUUGAUAAUGUAAGUCUAAGUUAAACAAUAUACUGAUGGACCUAGAGCAUGAUAAUUUCUCAAAUAAUACUUAUGUAAGAGUUGUCAUCUUCUGACUUUUUUUUUCUUGCAUCUAGGGAAAAGAAGAGAAUAAAGAAGAUUAUCAUUGCUACCUGCAUCUUACUGUAUUCUCAUAAUUUGUUGUGCUUGCUUAACAACCAGAUUCAAGUUCUUUCCUCAACAGCUCUCAUCUGUUCCCUCAAAGAAUAUGCCUUAGAUGCAUUUGAGACACCAUUUUGUGUCUGACUUCUGCAAUUUUGUAAGAUGCUGCCAUUAGAAGUUAAUAGAGCAGUGGUCUUUCAACAUUUUAGAUGGUAUACUCCUUCAGAAAAAAAAAAAAAGCAUUUUUGAGAAACAUCCCCAACAUAUGUUUGGUUGUUUUUUUAUUUCCUUGAAAAACAUAUGUAUGCCGGGCGCGGUGGCUCACGCCUGUAAUCCCAGCACUUUGGGAGGCUGAGGUGGGCAGAUCACGAGGUCAGGAGUUUGAGACCAGCCUGGCCAAUAUGGUGAAACCCCAUCUCUACUAUAAAUACAAAAAUUAGCCGGGCAUGGUGGCGCGUGCCUGUAGUCCCAGCUACUCAGGAGGCUGAGGCAGGAGAAUCACUUGAACCCGGGAGGUGGAGGUUGCAGUGAGCUGAAAUUGUGCCACUGUACUCUAGCCGGGGCAACAGAGUGAGACGCUGUUUCAAAAAAAAAAAAACAGAAAAACAUAUGUAUAUUUAUAUGUGUGUAUAUACACACACACACAUAUGCACACACAAAUAUAUAAAUUAAAUUUUUAAAUGAGAUAGAGUAAAAUGCAUUUUUGAAAUUAUUGAUUUAUUAACAAAACUAAAAGCCUUCCUUCUCACUAAAAAGUGUUGAAAAAUCCAUGAAUUAUGCAAGAUUGUUAUAACAUUUGGCUAUCAUAAUCUUAUUCUUGAUAUCAAUCAGUUUUUAAAGUAAUGAGAAGCUGCUGCAUUUUUAUAUUUUUUAACAAAUGGAUUUAAAAUCCACUGAACUGCUCAAUUAAAAGAUUGAAACAAAAUAGCAAAUUGUUUCCGAGUUUUUAAAAGCAUUUUCUGUGAUGACAAUCAUAAAAUCUUCAGUAAGAAAAACACACAAUAAUGGGAACACUUCGAAAUAUUUGUUUUCAAAUCGUCUCUUCAUAACAACGUAUCACUUGGUGUGAAAAUUACCUUGAAGAAACAACAAAUAAACCUCUGGGGUUUUUUGUUCUUCAAAAAGAUCUAUUAGAUAACAUGUACUGAGAGCCAUAUAUCAAUACAGAAAAGAUCAGCAAAUUUAGGAUAUUUGGGGUUUUUUUGUAAAAAUAAAGAAAAUAACUCACUUUAAGACAACUUUUAAAAUCUUUGUUACAAA